This is an unclassified non-coding RNA of Microcebus murinus (gray mouse lemur), 96 nucleotides long. It matches the Rfam family "Y RNA". Rfam says of the family: Y RNAs are components of the Ro ribonucleoprotein particle (Ro RNP), in association with Ro60 and La proteins. The Y RNAs and Ro60 and La proteins are well conserved, but the function of the Ro RNP is not known. Lineage: Eukaryota; Metazoa; Chordata; Mammalia; Primates; Cheirogaleidae. The record is from Ensembl.
GGCUGGUGCAAUGGUAGUGGGUUAUCAGAACUUAUUAACAUUAGUGUCACUAAAGUUGGUAUUCAACCCCCCACUGCUAAAUUUGACUGGCUUUAA